CCUACGGGAGGCAGCAGUGAGGAAUAUUGGUCAAUGGGCGGGAGCCUGAACCAGCCAAGCCGCGUGAGGGAAGAAGGUACAGCGUAUCGUAAACCUCUUUUGUCGGGGAACAAAGGCGGGGACUAGUCCCCGGCUGAGGGUACCCGAAGAAAAAGCAUCGGCUAACUCCGUGCCAGCAGCCGCGGUAAUACGGAGGAUGCGAGCGUUAUCCGGAUUUAUUGGGUUUAAAGGGUGCGCAGGCGGACCGUUAAGUCAGCGGUAAAAGCGCGGGGCUCAACCCCGGCGAGCCGUUGAAACUGGAGGGCUUGAGUGCGAGAGAAGUAUGCGGAAUGCGCGGUGUAGCGGUGAAAUGCAUAGAUAUCGCGCAGAACCCCGAUUGCGAAGGCAGCGUACCGGCGCGACACUGACGCUGAGGCACGAAAGCGGGGGUAUCGAACAGGAUUAGAUACCCGGGUAGUC
RNAcentral lists this ribosomal RNA (459 nucleotides) under uncultured bacterium. Its description in RNAcentral is "partial 16S ribosomal RNA". It matches the Rfam family "Bacterial small subunit ribosomal RNA", at positions 338 to 795 of the family's 1533-position model. The record is from RNAcentral.